GCCGAGGUGGUGGAAUAGGUAGACACGCAGGACUUAAAAUCCUGUGGAUGGAAAUCCGUGCGGGUUCGAUUCCCGCCCUCGGCACCA
Molecule: transfer RNA, 87 nt
Filed under: Parcubacteria group bacterium CG23_combo_of_CG06-09_8_20_14_all_35_9
Lineage: Bacteria
Description: tRNA-Leu
Rfam family: tRNA
About the family: Transfer RNA (tRNA) molecules are approximately 80 nucleotides in length. Their secondary structure includes four short double-helical elements and three loops (D, anti-codon, and T loops). Further hydrogen bonds mediate the characteristic L-shaped molecular structure. tRNAs have two regions of fundamental functional importance: the anti-codon, which is responsible for specific mRNA codon recognition, and the 3' end, to which the tRNAs corresponding amino acid is attached (by aminoacyl-tRNA synthetases). tRNAs cope with the degeneracy of the genetic code in two manners: having more than one tRNA (with a specific anti-codon) for a particular amino acid; and 'wobble' base-pairing, i.e. permitting non-standard base-pairing at the 3rd anti-codon position.
Source: RNAcentral